UAGGGAAUUUUCCACAAUGGGCGAAAGCCUGAUGGAGCAACGCCGCGUGCAGGAUGACGGCCUUCGGGUUGUAAACUGCUUUUAUGAGUGACGAUUAUGACGGUAACUCAAGAAUAAGGGUCGGCUAACUACGUGCCAGCAGCCGCGGUCAUACGUAGGACCCAAGCGUUAUCCGGAAUCACUGGGCGUAAAGAGUUGCGUAGGUGGCUUGUUAAGCAGCGUGUGAAAGCGUACGGCUCAACCGUAUACACAUACACUGAACUGGCAAGCUUGAGGAUGAGAGAGGUUAUUGGAAUUCCAAGUGUAGGAGUGAAAUCCGUAGAUAUUUGGAGGAACACCGAUGGCGUAGGCAGAUAACUGGCUCAUUCCUGACACUAAGGCACGAAAGCGUGGGGAGCAA
This 400-nucleotide ribosomal RNA is filed under the name uncultured bacterium. Its description in RNAcentral is "bacterial SSU rRNA". It matches the Rfam family "Bacterial small subunit ribosomal RNA", at positions 355 to 771 of the family's 1533-position model. The record is from RNAcentral.